Molecule: ribosomal RNA, 460 nt
Filed under: uncultured bacterium
Lineage: Bacteria
Description: partial 16S ribosomal RNA
Rfam family: Bacterial small subunit ribosomal RNA
Source: RNAcentral
CCUACGGGUGGCUGCAGUGAGGAAUAUUGGUCAAUGGGCGGGAGCCUGAACCAGCCAAGUCGCGUGCAGGAAGAAGGUACUUAGUAUUGUAAACUGCUUUUGUCCGGGGACAAACUCGGAGACGCGUCUCCUGUUGCAGGUACCCGAUGAAAAAGCAUCGGCUAAAUCCGUGCCAGCAGCCGCGGUAAUACGGAGGGUGCGGGCGUUAUCCGGAUUUAUUGGGUUUAAAGGGUGCGCAGGCGGCACCUUAAGUCAGGUGUGAAAUGGCGGGGCUCAACCCCGGCACGGCGGCGGAAACUGGGUGGCUAGAGUGGGAGAGAGGUAGGCGGAAUUCGUGGUGUAGCGGUGAAAUGCAUAGAUAUCACGAAGAACUCCGAUUGCGAAGGCAGCCUACCGUCGCGAUACUGACGCUGAGGCUCGAAGGUGCGGGUAUCGAACAGGAUUAGAUACCCCGGUAGUC